This 300-nucleotide ribosomal RNA is filed under the name Clostridioides difficile. RNAcentral's name for it is "partial 23S ribosomal RNA". It matches the Rfam family "Bacterial large subunit ribosomal RNA", at positions 1823 to 2122 of the family's 2925-position model. Lineage: Bacteria; Bacillati; Bacillota; Clostridia; Peptostreptococcales; Peptostreptococcaceae. The record is from RNAcentral.
CUGCUAAGUCGCAAGACGAUGUAUAGGAGCUGACGCCUGCCCGGUGCUGGAAGGUUAAGGGGAUCUGUUAGAGUAAUCGAAGCAGUGAACUUAAGCCCCAGUAAACGGCGGCCGUAACUAUACCGGUCCUAAGGUAGCGAAAUUCCUUGUCGGGUAAGUUCCGACCCGCACGAAAGGCGUAACGAUUUGGGCACUGUCUCAACAACAGACUCGGUGAAAUUGUAAUUCCGGUGAAGAUGCCGGAUACCUGCGACAGGACGGAAAGACCCCAUGGAGCUUUACUGUAGCUUGACUUUGGGU